GUCUCCAAGGAGCGAUCCAGGGCACCGGUUUCAAAGUCGCCGGGCGGGCCAAGUGGACUUCCGCGUCUGGCCCCUGGCUUCACCGCUCUCCUGGAGUCGCCCCCGCCUCUGCGAAGGACUUCGUUACCGGUUUCCCGCUGGCACCCUCUGCGCUCUCUUACGUUGCCCGACUCGACCCCGAGUGACCCUCAGGACGCCUGUAUCCACCCGCGUCUCCGUCCCACCGGGUUGGAAUUCGGGUGAACGUGGGACAGAACUCACUUGGCGGGUCCCCAGCAAACCUGACCUCGGAAGCCUGUCGCCUGAGCGAGGGCCUCGGCUGGGACUCGGGAGAAGGAGGCGCGGCAGGGCUGUUGACGCCGCGUGAGUAGGAUGCUGAUUACAUAGCUCGAGUGCUUGACAACCUCCGCAGCGUUGCCUCUGUUCUGUCGUCCCGAACAGCGAGCUCUGUGUCUUUUUGAGGAAAGUAGAGGUUGUGAAAGCUCCAAACUAAAAUUGUAUGGAAAUGGCCACAGAAGUCGACUUUCUGAGAGAUCAAGAUCAAAGACUAAGUGAAGUUCCUAGGUGGUAUCAAAUGGAAAAUUUUUCCAAAUACUCAUCAGUACAGAAAGCUGUCUUCAAAGGGGAUGGAGAUGGCACAUUAGAAAACUCAGUAGUUAACCAAAGCUUUUUAGCUCCUCUUAUUACUGAAUAUGAUAAGCAUCUGGAAGAGCUAAGUGGUCAACUGCAGUAUUAUCAGAAACAAAUGGGUGAGAUGAAACUACAACUUGAAAAUGUCAUCAAGGAAAAUGAAAGGUUGCACAGUGAAUUAAAAGAUGCUGUUGAAAAGCAAUUGGAAUCCCUUCCCUUUGGCACAGAGAUGGGAAAUGAUAUGUGUGCAGAUGAUGAAACAGUCAGGAAUCUUCAAGAGCAAUUACAAGUAGCCAAUCAAGAAAAAACACAGGCUGUACAACUCUGGCAGACUGUUUCUCAGGAGUUGGACAGACUUCAGAAACUUUACCAGGAACAUAUGACUGAAGUUCAGAUUCAUGUAGUUGAAAGUCAAAAGCAAAAGACUAACCAACACUUUCUGAAAACAGUAACAGAACAAAGUAUGGAAAUUGAGCAACUCCAGAAACAACUUAGACAAGCUAAGUUAGAUCUUAGAGUUGCAAAAGCUAAAGUGGAAGAGUUAAUUAAAGUGACUGAAGAUCUUCAAGGACAGAUGCAAAAGAAGGAGGAGGAUAUGGUGUCUGUCCAAAGAAGAGAGGAAGCAUCAGAUAGGCGCUUACAGCAGUUACAAUCUAGUAUAAAACAAUUAGAAACAAGAUUACAUGUGACAAUCCAAGAAGCUACCCAAGUAAGAACAGAAAACACAUAUUUGGAAAAACAGACCAGAGAGUUACAAGCAAAGUGCAAUGAAUUAGAAAAUGUGAAGUACGAAGCUAUUGCAAGAGUCAGAAAUAGCAUGCAACUCUUAGAAGAAGCUAACCUUCAAAAAAAUCAAGUUCUACAUGAGGAGAAACAAAAAGAAGAAGAUAGACAGAAAAUGAAAGAAAAAGUUUUUCGGAUUAUGCAAGAUGCUGCUAGGAGGACCGGGAAGGAAGUUGCAAACACAAGAAAACAAUAUAAUGUACAGAUUUCUCGACUAACAGAUGAACUUUCAGCCCUUCAAAUGGAGUGUGCCGAAAAAAAAAGUCAAAUUGAACGAGCCAUGAGGGAGAAAAAAGCAGUGGAAGAAGAACUAGAAAAGAUUUACCAUGAAGGUAGAGUAAAUGGAAGUGAUUACAGAAAACUGGAAGAAAUGCAACAAAGAUGCCUGGUUGCAGAGCGUUCAAAAGAUGAUCUUCAGCUAAGACUUAAGACAACAGAAAAUAAAAUAAAACAACUUAAAAUAAAUUCCUCAGAAGAGAUAUCACGUUGCCAAGAAAUGAUUCAGAAACUUCAAAAUGUAUUGGAGUCUGAGAGAGAAAACUGUGGAUUUGUCAGUGAACAAAGGCUGAAACUUCAACAAGAAAAUGAACAAUUACAGAAAGAGAAUGAGGAUUUAAGGAAGAUUGCUCUCGAGGCUCAAAAAAAAGCCAAGUUAAAGAUCAGUACAAUGGAACACGAAUUUUCAAUAAAAGAACAUGGGUUUGAAGUCCAACUAAGAGAGAUGGAAGAUAGUAAUCGAAAUUCCACUGUUGAGUUGAGGCAUCUCUUAGUGACUCAACAGAAGGCAGCCAAUAGGUGGAAAGAAGAAACAAAGAAACUUACUGAAAGUGCAGAAAUUCGAAUCAGUAAUCUAAAAAGUGAGCUGAGUCGACAGAAAGUUCAUACCCAAGAGCUGCUUUCUCAGCUGGAAAUGGCAAAUGAAAAGGUAGUUGAGCCUUCUGCAGGAACCAUAGUGAAGUCAUUACUCUUAAGAUGGCAGAGCACUGUAAAUUGAUAUGAGCCAUUCAGAAAACAAUUAGACAACAACCAUUAAAAUACUCUGAUGUAGUUCCUACUUCCAGGAAUCUGUUCUAAAGAAAUAAUGUAAAAUAUGAAAAAGGAAGUUAUUCAAUACAGUAAUGUUAAUAACACUGGAAGAUCAAAAGCAACCAGAAUGGCCAACUGAAAAUACAGUUGCAUGUACUAUGAUUGACUUAAUCUGUACGUUAACCAUUACAGUAGCAGCUGUGAAAAAUGUACAUUAUGUAUGUACAUAUGAAAAUCAUUAUUGUAUGACAGGAUUAUUUCCUCAAGUUUUCUCUAGCAUUACUGAUGUGCCUCUUAAAUUUAGGACUACAUAUUUAAACAUUUUGGUAAAUCUGAACAGCUAAAUAGUUCUCUUCAUAAAAUUUAGUUUUGCUUUUGGGCACAGUUAGAAAUAGGUUCAUUUUAACAGAAUACCGUUAUUUCAAUAUUUUAUAUUACUAGGCUUGACAUUCACUGUUAUCACUUGUAUGUUAAGACCUGGGAACUACCUAGUAUUUCAUAGAAAGUGUGUCUUUCUUGCUGUUCCUGAUUAGGCUGGUGUUAUCCUCACAUUCAGACAAGUGUCAGAAAAACUGUAUAACAAUUUUUGUUGUACAAAAACUUUUUAGGCUAAUAUGUAUGGUGAGGGCUAAUACAUUUUUUUAACUGAUAGAUUCUUUGAACUUGUCUACAUGGCAAAAUGUUGUGACAGACUUAUAUUCCUGAUGCCUGUAUAGUUUCCUGAGGCUGGUGCAACAAAGAAUUACAAACUGAGUGGCUUAAAUGACAGAAAUUUAUUGUCUCACAGUUCUGGAAGUCAGAAAUCUGAAAUCAGGAAGUGAGAGCAGGGUUCCCUCUGAGGACGAGUGUCUGUCCUGUGCCUCUCUCUCAGCUGUUGGCAGCCUCCAGCUUGCUUUCUUGCCUAGUUGGUGUUCUCCCUGUCUCUUCACGCAGUCUUCCCUUUGUACAUGCCUGUCUCUAUGUCUAAGCUUUCCCUUUGUAUGAAGAUACUAGUCGUAUUGGAUUUGUGCCCACCAUAAUGACCUCAUUUUAACUUAAUCAUUAGUAAAUGCCCUAUUUCCAAAUAAGGUCACAUUCAUAGGUAUUAGGGGUUAGGAUUUCAACAUGUUUUUUUUUAGGUUUGUAAUUCAAUGCAUAACAAUGCUUUAAUAACUCUGUUGACUCUAGUACCCUCUGGGGUAUACAAAUGUAAUGGGGAACAUGUAGAAACAGUUCUUCCCCUUGAAGUAAUGCCUUCAGCAUAUAAGUCAUUUAAGAUAAAUCUAACUUUUCAAAAAUCAGAAUUUCUAGAAUGAAUAUUUUCUCUUCCUUGAACUUUAAUAAAGAUGAUAUCACAGUUUCCUCUAGCACAGUGGUUCUAAAUGCACUGGCAAACAGAAUCAGCACUGCCUAAGAACUUGAUAAAAGUGCAGAUCCUCAGGACUCAUCCCAUCCCUACCGAAGCCCGGGAUGAGGCUCAGCUGUCUGUGUUUCCAUACUCUCUGGGUGAUUCUAGAUCAGUGGUCUAGCAUCUCAAGGUUAACAGAUCAAAAGGUGAAAGUCUUGUUCUUCUGAUCCACUUUGCUUUUGGAUUUAAUUCACAUUCUUUGAUAGCACGUAGAGGAGAAAAAAAAAUUUAGUCAGAAUUUAAAAUCAAUUUUGAACUUUGAAGUUCAUAACUUGAAAAAAAUGUAAAUUUGGUGAUAUAUUAUCUUUGCAUUUUAUAAAAUGAUGUCCAAAUUUUUCAUUGAUUAUCCCAUAAAACAUCUCUAUGUCACAUAUGGAUUCCUAACUGGUUUGUUUUAUAUUUCCACUUAAUAGAAGGAAAAAUUAAUUCUAGAGCAUCAAGAAAAAGCCAACAGACUUCAAAGGCGUCUAAAUCAGGCGGAACAGAAAGCUGCAUCAGCUUCCCAGCAGGGUUAUUGGAAAACAGAACAGUGACAGCAAAGAAAAUAUAAUCCUAUAUUGAGCUGCAGUGGAGAAUAAAGCCAGCUGAGAAGAACUCAUUGCCUUCAUCAACAUGUCUAUUUUUUAAUUCCCCCUUUUUCCUUUGGAAGAGCAUAGUAAUUUUCUAACUAUGCUAAUCAUGAGGAAGAUUUUAAGACAAUGCUAGAAUUUUGAUAUUUCAGGUUCUAUGAUUUGAGAAUUUUACAUCUAAUUGUUACUUCCAACUCAUUUUUAAAGUUCCCGAGUAUCCAUUUUAUUAUAUAAACUCACAAAUGUAAUAAAUUAUACACUUUCUAAAAUGAUGCUGUCAUGUAUUUUAA
Manis pentadactyla (Chinese pangolin) is the source of this 4685-nucleotide RNA transcript. It is a transcript of the gene named sodium channel and clathrin linker 1, with no coding region annotated. The transcript has 20 exons. The record is from RefSeq and is a predicted model, not a curated record. Lineage: Eukaryota; Metazoa; Chordata; Mammalia; Pholidota; Manidae.